CUGACGGUGUACUCCCAGAUGCUCUGGCCGUCCACAAGGGACUCGUCGCCGAAGUGGUCCCCGUUGGCGAGCACGCCGAGGUUGGUGAAGUCCCCGUACUCGCCGGGACCGACCUUGCCGACCUUGCCGUGCGCGAUGAGGAACGCCUGGUCCGAGGAGCUGCCGAACUCCACGAUCACCUCGCCGGGCUCGUAGUCGCGCUGCUCGAACCGGCCGGCGAGCGCGGCGAGCACGUCGUGGUCGUCGAAGCCGCGCAGGAUCGGCAGUUCGGCCAGCUCGGCGGGGAUCACCUCGACGCGGUCCGCGGUGGUCACGAAGGUCACGCGGCCGUCGCCGACGGCGUAGGACAGCCGGCGGUUGACGCGAUAGGCACCGCCGGACGCCUCCACCCACGGCAGCAGGCGCGGUAGCCACCGGGACGUGAUGGCCUGCAUCUGGGGGACGGACUUGGUCGUGGUCGCCAGGUUGCGGGCGGCCCGGGUGCUCAGGCUCUGCUGCGGGCUGUCCU
Molecule: antisense RNA, 508 nt
Filed under: Amycolatopsis viridis
Lineage: Bacteria; Bacillati; Actinomycetota; Actinomycetes; Pseudonocardiales; Pseudonocardiaceae
Description: sRNA 350
Rfam family: Saccharopolyspora sRNA 350
Source: RNAcentral